GGCAAGUCGAACGCUUUGUGGUUCAACUGAUUUGAAGAGCUUGCUCAGAUAUGACGAUGGACAUUGCAAAGAGUGGCGAACGGGUGAGUAACACGUGGGAAACCUACCUCUUAGCAGGGGAUAACAUUUGGAAACAGAUGCUAAUACCGUAUAACAAUGACAACCGCAUGGUUGUUAUUUAAAAGAUGGUUCUGCUAUCACUAAGAGAUGGUCCCGCGGUGCAUUAGCUAGUUGGUAAGGUAAUGGCUUACCAAGGCGAUGAUGCAUAGCCGAGUUGAGAGACUGAUCGGCCACAAUGGGACUGAGACACGGCCCAUACUCCUACGGGAGGCAGCAGUAGGGAAUCUUCCACAAUGGGCGAAAGCCUGAUGGAGCAACGCCGCGUGUGUGAUGAAGGGUUUCGGCUCGUAAAACACUGUUGUAAGAGAAGAAUGACAUUGAGAGUAACUGUUCAAUGUGUGACGGUAUCUUACCAGAAAGGAACGGCUAAAUACGUGCCAGCAGCCGCGGUAAUACGUAUGUUCCAAGCGUUAUCCGGAUUUAUUGGGCGUAAAGCGAGCGCAGACGGUUAUUUAAGUCUGAAGUGAAAGCCCUCAGCUCAACUGAGGAAUUGCUUUGGAAACUGGAUGACUUGAGUGCAGUAGAGGAAAGUGGAACUCCAUGUGUAGCGGUGAAAUGCGUAGAUAUAUGGAAGAACACCAGUGGCGAAGGCGGCUUUCUGGACUGUAACUGACGUUGAGGCUCGAAAGUGUGGGUAGCAAACAGGAUUAGAUACCCUGGUAGUCCACACCGUAAACGAUGAGUGCUAGGUGUUUGAGGGUUUCCGCCCUUAAGUGCCGCAGCUAACGCAUUAAGCACUCCGCCUGGGGAGUACGACCGCAAGGUUGAAACUCAAAGGAAUUGACGGGGACCCGCACAAGCGGUGGAGCAUGUGGUUUAAUUUCGAAGCAACGCGAAGAACCUUACCAGGUCUUGACAUCCCUUGACAACUCCAGAGAUGGAGCGUUCCCUUUCGGGGACAGGUGACAGGUGUGCAUGGUUGUCGUCAGCUCGUGUCGUGAGAUGUUGGGGUUAAGUCCCGCACGAGCGCACCCCUUAUUACUAGUUGCCAGCAUUCAGUUGGGCACUCUAGUGAGACUGCCGGUGACAAACCGGAGGAAGGUGGGGAUGACGUCAAAUCAUCAUGCCCCUUAUGACCUGGGCUACACACGUGCUACAAUGGCGUAUACAACGAGUUGCCAACCCGCGAGGGUGAGCUAAUCUCUUAAAGUACGUCUCAGUUCGGAUUGUAGGCUGCAACUCGCCUACAUGAAGUCGGAAUCGCUAGUAAUCGCGGAUCAGCACGCCGCGGUGAAUACGUUCCCGGGUCUUGUACACACCGCCCGUCACACCAUGAGAGUUUGUAACACCCAAAGCCGGUGGGGUAACCUUCGGGA
RNAcentral lists this ribosomal RNA (1436 nucleotides) under Weissella confusa. RNAcentral's name for it is "bacterial SSU rRNA". It matches the Rfam family "Bacterial small subunit ribosomal RNA". Lineage: Bacteria; Bacillati; Bacillota; Bacilli; Lactobacillales; Lactobacillaceae. The record is from RNAcentral.